UACGUAGGUGACAAGUGUUGUCCGGAUUUAUUGGGCGUAAAGCGAGCGCAGGCGGUCUUUUAAGUCUGAUGUGAAAGCCCACGGCUCAACCGUGGAUGGUCAUUGGAAACUGGAGGACUUGAAUACAGAAGAGGUAAGUGGAAUUCCAUGUGUAGCGGUGAAAUGCGUAGAUAUAUGGAGGAACACCAGUGGCGAAGGCGACUUACUGGUCUGUUAUUGACGCUGAGGCUCGAAAGCGUGGGGAGCGAACAGG
Molecule: ribosomal RNA, 253 nt
Filed under: uncultured bacterium
Lineage: Bacteria
Description: partial 16S ribosomal RNA
Rfam family: Bacterial small subunit ribosomal RNA
Source: RNAcentral